This is a long non-coding RNA of Sitophilus oryzae (rice weevil), 244 nucleotides long. RefSeq lists it as uncharacterized. Lineage: Eukaryota; Metazoa; Arthropoda; Insecta; Coleoptera; Curculionidae. The transcript is spliced from 2 exons. The record is from RefSeq and is a predicted model, not a curated record.
UAAGAAAGCUAAUACGCCGGGAAAAAUGAUUAGUUUUCAUGUUUUUCCUAAAGGCGAUUUGUAAAAAUCGUGAUUGUAAUUGGGAAUGGUCAAAAACCAAGUGUGAUGUGGCCAUUUGAAGAGGAUGUUUUUAUUACAUGUGGAGGAAGAAGAUACUUGGAAUCAAUGUUUGUGCUUCUGUAAAACAGUGCACUCUUAUAAUGUCCAUGAAAGCACAAGUUCAAGUGUACCAGAAAUAUGUCAA